GCGAAGAAGAGCACGCGGGCGCGGGAAAAAAUGAUUGUUUUGUCCCGUUUCCUUCCUCUAUCGGGAUUUUUGUCAAACACCUUCCGAUCUCAAAACCAAACGCGUUUUAUCAUCGCAGAAUCAACGCAUAAACGGUAAUUGCAACAUCAUUUCAUAAUUCUUCUUAUUUCGAGACCCUGAAUUCCUGCCAAAAGGACCAGAUUCACCAUUACAUUGAGUCUCUUCUCGACUAGAACCAGAAAAUGAAUCUCUCUGCGGUCACCGACGCGAAUGAAGUCGUGAAAAGGCAUAUAGAUGACUCACUUGCAAUGCUACCUCCUGGAUUAGUUUUAGCUAUUGUUUGUCCUGGUUGGAAAGUGACCCUUUUGGAGUCCAUGAACAAG
RNAcentral lists this unclassified non-coding RNA (383 nucleotides) under Hevea brasiliensis (rubber tree). The record is from RNAcentral. Lineage: Eukaryota; Viridiplantae; Streptophyta; Magnoliopsida; Malpighiales; Euphorbiaceae.